RNAcentral lists this ribosomal RNA (253 nucleotides) under uncultured bacterium. Its description in RNAcentral is "partial 16S ribosomal RNA". It matches the Rfam family "Bacterial small subunit ribosomal RNA", at positions 524 to 776 of the family's 1533-position model. The record is from RNAcentral.
GACGAACCGUGCGAACGUUGUUCGGAAUCACUGGGCUUAAAGGGCGCGUAGGCGGGUCCUCAAGUCAGGGGUGAAAUCUUUCAGCUCAACUGGAAAAGUGCCCCUGAUACUGAGAGUCUCGAGGGAGGUAGGGGCAUGUGGAACUAAUGGUGGAGCGGUGAAAUGCGUAGAUAUCAUUAGGAACGCCGGUGGCGAAAGCGACGUGCUGGACCUCUUCUGACGCUGAGGCGCGAAAGCUAGGGGAGCAAACGGG